RNAcentral lists this long non-coding RNA (445 nucleotides) under Fukomys damarensis (Damara mole-rat). Its description in RNAcentral is "lncRNA (ENSFDAG00000022615.1)". The record is from RNAcentral. Lineage: Eukaryota; Metazoa; Chordata; Mammalia; Rodentia; Bathyergidae.
GUAAUUUAAUAUGAAUGAAGUGUGCAGUGUGGUUUGAGGGUGAUAGAUAUCAGUGAUUAAGAUUGGGACACAGGGAAGACCUUGCGAAGGUCACACUCGUGACACCCAAGUGAAUCCAGGAGUACUCAGGAGAAAAGCCAAGGAUACAGAUGUGUCUUGUGAAUCCACUGACACUCAGGGAAUUCCAGCACUGUGGAAAGACGCGCACGUCAGCUCGUGUUCAAGGCACGGUUCUCUCAGCACGUGGGACUUAGGUGGCUUGAGAAGCUGCAGAAUACUUAGUGUGAGCCGGCCUGAGAGAAGCCGCUAUAGCAGCUUCUUGUACCAAGCAAUCAACAGAAAGGGAAAAAGGAGUCUUUGGGCUGGUGAAAGUCAUUGACUCUGAUGACAGGUAAGAGUGCUGUUGUUAUAUAAAGUGGGAAGGAAUAUAGUUGGCAUUAAAUAU